AACGAACGCUGGCGGCGCGUUUUAAGCAUGCAAGUCGAACGGGAUCCUUGUGCUUGCACGAGGUGAGAGUGGCGAACGGGUGAGUAACGCGUAGAUGAUCUACCUUUUGGUUGGGGAUAGCUCAUGGAAACAUGGGGUAAUACCGAAUGAGAUCUUCGGGCUGUGGCCUGGGGAGGAAAGGGGCUUUGGCCUCGCCGAGAGAUGAGUCUGCGUAUGAUUAGCUAGUUGGUGUGGUAAAGGCGCACCAAGGCGACGAUCAUUAGCCGGCCUGAGAGGGUGACCGGCCACAUUGGGACUGAGACACGGCCCAGACUCCUACGGGUGGCAG
Molecule: ribosomal RNA, 328 nt
Filed under: uncultured Spirochaetota bacterium
Lineage: Bacteria; Pseudomonadati; Spirochaetota
Description: bacterial SSU rRNA
Rfam family: Bacterial small subunit ribosomal RNA
Source: RNAcentral